RNAcentral lists this ribosomal RNA (253 nucleotides) under uncultured bacterium. RNAcentral's name for it is "partial 16S ribosomal RNA". It matches the Rfam family "Bacterial small subunit ribosomal RNA", at positions 524 to 776 of the family's 1533-position model. The record is from RNAcentral.
UACGGAGGGGGCUAGCGUUGUUCGGAAUUACUGGGCGUAAAGCGCACGUAGGCGGCCUUGCAAGUCUGGGGUGAAAUCACGGAGCUCAACUCCGGAACUGCAUUAGAAACUGCAUAGCUCGAGUUCGGAAGAGGUGAGGGGAAUUCCCAGUGUAGAGGUGAAAUGCGUAGAGAUUGGGAAGAACACCGGUGGCGAAGGCGGCCCACUGGGCCGAAACUGACGCUGAGGGGCGAAAGCGUGGGGAGCGAACGGG